RNAcentral lists this ribosomal RNA (492 nucleotides) under uncultured bacterium. RNAcentral's name for it is "bacterial SSU rRNA". It matches the Rfam family "Bacterial small subunit ribosomal RNA", at positions 29 to 511 of the family's 1533-position model. The record is from RNAcentral.
AUUGAACGCUGGCGGCGUGCCUAACACAUGCAAGUCGAGCGGGUAACAGGUGUAGCAAUACAUGCUGACGAGCGGCGGACGGGUGAGUAACGCUUGGGAAUCUGCCUGUUAGUGGGGGACAACCCGGGGAAACUCGGGCUAAUACCGCAUACGCACUACGGUGGAAAGCCGGGGACCGCAAGGCCUGGCGCUAACAGGAUGAGCCCAAGUCGGAUUAGCUAGGUUGGUAGGGAACGGCCUACCAAGGCGACGAUCCGUAACUGGUCUGAGAGGACGACCAGUCACACCGGAACUGAGACACGGUCCGGACUCCUACGGGAGGCAGCAGUGGGGAAUAUUGGACAAUGGGCGAAAGCCUGAUCCAGCGACGCCGCGUGGGUGAAGAAGGCCUGCGGGUUGUAAAGCCCUUUCGGUGGGGAAGAAAAGCCUCGAGUUAAUACCUCGGGGUCUUGACGUAACCCAUAGAAGAAGCACCGGCUAACUCUGUGCCAG